AACGAACGCUGGCGGCAUGCCUAACACAUGCAAGUCGAACGAGACCUUCGGGUCUAGUGGCGCACGGGUGCGUAACGCGUGGGAACCUGCCCUUAGGUUCGGAAUAACUCCCCGAAAGGGGUGCUAAUACCGGAUAAUGUCUUCGGACCAAAGAUUUAUCGCCUUUGGAUGGGCCCGCGUUGGAUUAGCUAGUUGGUAGGGUAAAAGUCUACCAAGGCGACGAUCCAUAGCUGGUCUGAGAGGAUGAUCAGCCACACUGGGACCGAGACACGGCCCAGACUCCUGCGGGAAGCAGCAGUGGGGAAUAUUGGACAAUGGGCGAGAGCCUGAUCCAGCAAUGCCGCGUGAGUGAUGAAGGCCUUAGGGUUGUAAAGCUCUUUUACCCGGGAUGAUAAUGACAGUACCGGGAGAAUAAGCUCCGGCUAACUCCGUG
Molecule: ribosomal RNA, 433 nt
Filed under: uncultured bacterium
Lineage: Bacteria
Description: partial 16S ribosomal RNA
Rfam family: Bacterial small subunit ribosomal RNA
Source: RNAcentral